RNAcentral lists this ribosomal RNA (482 nucleotides) under uncultured bacterium. RNAcentral's name for it is "bacterial SSU rRNA". It matches the Rfam family "Bacterial small subunit ribosomal RNA", at positions 28 to 506 of the family's 1533-position model. The record is from RNAcentral.
GAUGAACGCUAGCGGCAGGCUUAAUACAUGCAAGUCGUGGGGCAGCAUGAGUAGCAAUACUUGAUGGCGACCGGCAAACGGGUGAGGAACACGUACACAACCUUCCUUCAAGCGGGGAAUAGCCCAGAGAGAUUUGGAUUAAUACCCCAUAAUAUAUUUGAUAAGGCAUCUUAUUAAUAUUAAAGCUUCGGCACUUGAUGAUGGGUGUGCGGCUGAUUAGAUAGUUGGCGGGGUAACGGCCCACCAAGUCUACGAUCAGUAGCUGAUGUGAGAGCAUGAUCAGCCACACGGGCACUGAGACACGGGCCCGACUCCUACGGGAGGCAGCAGUAAGGAAUAUUGGACAAUGGACGAAAGUCUGAUCCAGCCAUGCCGCGUGAAGGAUUAAGGUCCUCUGGAUUGUAAACUUCUUUAUAUGGGACGAAAAAGGGCAUUCUUGUUCACUUGACGGUACCAUAUGAAUAAGCACCGGCUAACUCCGU